Molecule: long non-coding RNA, 364 nt
Organism: Lontra canadensis (Northern American river otter)
Lineage: Eukaryota; Metazoa; Chordata; Mammalia; Carnivora; Mustelidae
Exons: 3
Source: RefSeq, a predicted model, not a curated record
AGAGGCAGCCUGUGACAGAGACAGACAGGAAAUCGUUUCCUGCGUUCUUGGCAUCCUCCAGGCUUGGUUCCUACCUCUCCAGAGGCCCAAUUGUUUGAUUUCACCUUUGAUUCCAAGGAAGCACCCAAUUUCCUGCUAAUAAAUUUCAUGGACUUGUUUGAAGUUGACUUCUGUCACUUUUGACAGAAAGUGUCCUGACAGUCCCAGCUGAGGAGGAUGUUUUCAUCAUAGCUGCCUUUGCAAAUAAAAAGCAGGGAUAGCAGGAUGGCAGGCUGCAGCAGCCAAGGCCGAGGUGGGUUUGCUGCCCCUGUCACUUGUCACUUGGCAGUCUUCUGCAUGGCCGGCAGCCUCUGCCCUGUGGGCU